UUCGCCUGAGUGCAACUGAGUUUGGGUU
Molecule: small RNA, 28 nt
Filed under: Bombyx mori (domestic silkworm)
Lineage: Eukaryota; Metazoa; Arthropoda; Insecta; Lepidoptera; Bombycidae
Description: ovarian small RNA-37410
Source: RNAcentral